CCUACGGGAGUCAGCAGUGAGGAAUAUUGGUCAAUGGGCUAGAGCCUGAACCAGCCAAGUCGCGUGAGGGAUUACUGCCCUAUGGGUUGUAAACCUCUUUUGUCGGGGAGCAACAGCCGGCCGUGUCCCGCUGUGAGCGUAACCCAAGAAAAAGCAUUGGCCAAAACCGUGCCAGCAGCCGCGGUAAUACGGAGGAUGCGAGCGUUAUCCGGAUUCAGUGGGUUUAAAGGGUGCGCAGUGGGAAUUGGAAUUCAGCGGUAAAAUUGUGGGGCUAAAACCCAUCCAGCCGUUGAAACUGAGGCUCUUGAGUGUGCGAGAGGUAUGCGGAAUGCGUGGUGUAGCGGUGAAAUGCAUAGAUAUCACGCAGAACCCCGAUUGCGAAGGCAGCAUACCGGUGCACAACUGACGCUCAGGCACGAAAGCGUGGGUAUCGAACAGGAUUAGAUACCCUAGUAGUC
RNAcentral lists this ribosomal RNA (458 nucleotides) under uncultured bacterium. Its description in RNAcentral is "partial 16S ribosomal RNA". It matches the Rfam family "Bacterial small subunit ribosomal RNA", at positions 338 to 795 of the family's 1533-position model. The record is from RNAcentral.